AAGAGUGGUAUGCAUGUCUCCACAAAGUCAGCAGCAAGCAGCAGCAUUGCUAUGAAGUCCAAUCAAGUCAUUUCUACUCAGUGACCUCUGCUUUUGUGGAUUGAGUCUUGUUGAACUGGACUCAGAUUUUAAAGUUAACAAAGAAGACAGCAGGAUGUGAUACUAGCAUGGGAGAUGGCAGUUUUCCAUAGAUGACAGAGAAUUGUAUAGCAAGGUGAUGGAUACCAUCACAAGGACAAACCAGCAAGGAGAUAAAAGAUACAAGAGCAACCAUGCAGCAAGAAAUAAAUGGAAAGGUUUACACUCUUUAAAAUGUGGAUCACCAUGCCGUGUUUGAAGCUAUAGGGCUUUGCAAAGAAUUUUGCUUGAAGAGACCAGCAAACACCUGAGAUUGAGGUGAUUGACUUGUAGAGUGAGUCAUAAGUAUAGAGGUGCUGAGAAUCCAGAAAUAAUCUACAGAAGGGAGAAAUAAG
Long non-coding RNA from Cygnus olor (mute swan), 473 nucleotides. RefSeq lists it as uncharacterized. The record is from RefSeq and is a predicted model, not a curated record. NCBI's taxonomy places the organism in Eukaryota, Metazoa, Chordata, Aves, Anseriformes, Anatidae. The transcript is spliced from 3 exons.